GACAAACGCUGGCGGCAUGCCUAACACAUGCAAGUCGAACGGACAGAACAGGGAAGCUUUUCGGAGUGGAACUAGAAAGUUAGUGGCGGAUGGGUGAGUAACGCGUGGACAACCUACCUUGUAAAGGGGAAUAACCUCGAGAAAUCGAAGCUAAUACCCCAUAAUAACCUUGCUUCGCAUGAAGUAAGGAGGAAAGGCGGCCUUAGCGCUGUCGAUACAAGAUGGGUCCGCGUCUGAUUAGCUAGUUGGUGAGGUAAAGGCUCACCAAGGCGACGAUCAGUAGCCGGCCUGAGAGGGUGAACGGCCACAUUGGGACUGAGACACGGCCCAAACUCCUACGGGAGGCAGCAGUGGGGAAUCUUCCGCAAUGGGCGAAAGCCUGACGGAGCAAUGCCGCGUGAGUGAAGAAGGCCUUCGGGUUGUAAAACUCUGUCCUUAUCGAAGAGAGAGUGUUGUAGUAACUGACAAUACUAGGACGGUAGAUGAGGAGGAAGCCCCGGCUAACUAUGUG
RNAcentral lists this ribosomal RNA (511 nucleotides) under uncultured bacterium. Its description in RNAcentral is "partial 16S ribosomal RNA". It matches the Rfam family "Bacterial small subunit ribosomal RNA", at positions 28 to 507 of the family's 1533-position model. The record is from RNAcentral.